RNAcentral lists this ribosomal RNA (433 nucleotides) under uncultured bacterium. RNAcentral describes it as "partial 16S ribosomal RNA". It matches the Rfam family "Bacterial small subunit ribosomal RNA", at positions 29 to 507 of the family's 1533-position model. The record is from RNAcentral.
AACGAACGCUGGCUGCAUGUCUAACACAUGCAAGUCGAACGAUCCUUUCUGGUCUAGUGGCGCCCGUGUGCGUAACGCGUUGGCACCUGCUCUUCGGUUCGGAAUAACUCCCCGACCUGGGUUCUAAUUCCUGUUCUUGUCUUUGGCCCAAAGAUUUAUCGCCUUUGGAUGGGCCCGCGUUGGAUUAGCUAGUUGGUAGGGGAAAAGCCUACCAAGGCGACGAUCCAUAGCUGGUCUGAGAGGAUGAUCAGCCACACUGGGACUGAGACACGGCCCAGACUCCUACGGGAGGAAGAAGUGGGGAAUAUUGGACAAUGGGAGAAAGCCUGAUCCAGCAAUGACGCGUGAGUGAUGAAGGCCUUAGGGUUGUAAAGAUCUUUUACCAGGGAUGAUAAUGACAGUGCCGGGAGAAUAAGCUACGGCUAACUCAGUG